AGGUAAGCUACUAAGAGCGAAUGGUGGAUGCCUUGACUGGUAAAGGCGAUGAAGGACGUACUAGACUGCGAUAAGCUACGGGGAGCUGUCAAGAAGCUUUGAUCCGUAGAUUUCCGAAUGGGGCAACCCAAUGUAUAGAGAUAUACAUUACCUAUAUAGGAGCGAACGAGGGGAAUUGAAACAUCUUAGUACCCUCAGGAAAAGAAAUCAAUAGAGAUUGCGUCAGUAGCGGCGAGCGAAAGCGCAAGAGGGCAAACCCAGUGCUUGCACUGGGGGUUGUAGGACUGCAAUGUGCAAGAGCUGAGUUUAGCAGAACAUUCUGGAAAGUAUAGCCAUAGAGGGUGAUAGUCCCGUAUGCGAAAAACAAAGCUUAGCUAGCAGUAUCCUGAGUAGGGCGGGACACGAGGAAUCCUGUCUGAAUCCGGGUCGACCACGAUCCAACCCUAAAUACUAAUACCAGAUCGAUAGUGCACAAGUACCGUGAGGGAAAGGUGAAAAGAACUGAGGUGAUCAGAGUGAAAUAGAACCUGAAACCAUUUGCUUACAAUCAUUCAGAGCACUAUGUAGCAAUACAGUGUGAUGGACUGCCUUUUGCAUAAUGAGCCUGCGAGUUGUGGUGUCUGGCAAGGUUAAGCAAACGCGAAGCCGUAGCGAAAGCGAGUCUGAAUAGGGCGCUUAGUCAGAUGCUGCAGACCCGAAACGAAGUGAUCUAUCCAUGAGCAAGUUGAAGCUAGUGUAAGAACUAGUGGAGGACUGAACCCAUAGGCGUUGAAAAGCCCCGGGAUGACUUGUGGAUAGGGGUGAAAGGCCAAUCAAACUUCGUGAUAGCUGGUUCUCUCCGAAAUAUAUUUAGGUAUAGCGUUGUGUCGUAAUAUAAGGGGGUAGAGCACUGAAUGGGCUAGGGCAUACACCAAUGUACCAAACCCUAUCAAACUCCGAAUACCUUAUAUGUAAUCACAGCAGUCAGGCGGCGAGUGAUAAAAUCCGUCGUCAAGAGGGAAACAACCCAGACUACCAGCUAAGGUCCCUAAAUCUUACUUAAGUGGAAAACGAUGUGAAGUUACUUAAACAACCAGGAGGUUGGCUUAGAAGCAGCCAUCCUUUAAAGAAAGCGUAAUAGCUCACUGGUCUAGUGAUUUUGCGCGGAAAAUAUAACGGGGCUAAAGUAAGUACCGAAGCUGUAGACUUAGUUUACUAAGUGGUAGGAGAGCGUUCUAUUUGCGUCGAAGGUAUACCGGUAAGGAGUGCUGGAGCGAAUAGAAGUGAGCAUGCAGGCAUGAGUAGCGAUAAUUAAUGUGAGAAUCAUUAACGCCGUAAACCCAAGGUUUCCUACGCGAUGCUCG
Molecule: ribosomal RNA, 1343 nt
Filed under: Campylobacter jejuni
Lineage: Bacteria; Pseudomonadati; Campylobacterota; Epsilonproteobacteria; Campylobacterales; Campylobacteraceae
Description: partial 23S ribosomal RNA
Rfam family: Bacterial large subunit ribosomal RNA
Source: RNAcentral